Molecule: long non-coding RNA, 6630 nt
Organism: Hypanus sabinus (Atlantic stingray)
Lineage: Eukaryota; Metazoa; Chordata; Chondrichthyes; Myliobatiformes; Dasyatidae
Exons: 2
Source: RefSeq, a predicted model, not a curated record
AAGAGUUCAGCACGGACUAGGAGGGCCGAGAUGGCCUGUUUCCGUGCUGUGAUUGUUAUAUGGUUAAUAAUGUGGAUAGGGUGAGGCCAUUAGCACAUUGUGCAUGUUACUUUAAAGAUUUAUGAUCCUCUGAGAGAAAUUCUCUCUUACUCCUACCUUAAGUUAAUGAUUCAUUACUCUGAAGCUAUGGCCCCAUGUUCUAAACUCUUCCCUGAGGGACAAACAUCUUCUCGACACUAAUUUUAUCAAGCCUGCUCAGAGCCUUAUGUUCCAAUGCGAUCUCUUCCAACCUCCAUUGACUACAAAUGUAAUCUAAGCUUAAUUGCAGAAAGAGAAAAACAAUCAACUUUUCAGUUCUUUGCCCUUUCAAGUUUCAAGUUCGUUUAUUGUCAUUCAAAUAUAGACGUGUUUAAAGCCAAGCUAAACAAAGUUCCACCAGUCCAAAGUACAGUGAGUCACAGACCCUAGACUGUUUUUCUUUCCACGUACGGUAUGCUACCGAUUCUGUCUCAACACUUUUGAUGGCCUGGUUCUAUAUCCAUAAGUAAACCCAAAACACUCUGUCAAAAUACUCAACUUUCCCUUCUGCUACAGUUUGCCUUCUUACUCAUUAGAACAUUUUACAAUUCCAACCAGGCCAGUUAAUGUUGCCAGCACCAUUUAACUGUACAGCAGGCCCAAAACCUCCAGGAUUAUUAUCAAAAGUGAUGAAGAAAUGUCAAGGUUUCUACAGAUGGGAAUUUGUAAGAGAUAUUUUCUCAAUAUCAAUGAUGUCUUUGUUUUACUCUUGUGAAGUUUACCUGCCACUUGUCAUUCCACUUUUUGCUGGUGUUUUUGGCCCAACUGAGUGAUUGCCGUCUCUGAGGGAGUUUGGUGUGGCUUCAAGCGAAGUUUGUGGCCUGGAGGCCGAGAAGCCUGGAGGCAGGGGGGGGUGAGCCCAUGUUUGACUCCAUUUCUCACCGAUCUCACAAGGAAGACCGAGAUCACUGAGGUGAGAGCAGAAGGUGAGCAGACGCACAGUGGCGCCUACCAGACCGUUGCUCAUUGCUGCCGGAGGAAGGUGUCAAUGCGUGACAGUCAGUCUCUGCCCCCCACCCCCCCGGAGGAGGUCCCUGCGUUCAAAGGAUCUCGCUCGAUGGUGCCAGAGUCCUGGGUGUUGGGCAAGGUGUAAUUGAAGCAAUUUGUGGACUAGACUCUGUAGUUCAUGUUACAACAUGUUUCUGGUUUUUGGUUGAUUCUUUUCUCAUUGAUAUUUUGAUCAGGGCAGCGUGUAGAAAAUGAACAAUAUAGCGUGAGGUUGAACUGAAUGGAGCUGUAUGUGCCUGGACUCUUUUAAUGACUCUGUGGGUUGGUUUUAUGUGUUAUAUUAUGUGUUUUUCGCUCAUAUUUUCUGCCACUUGUGCAAUUUGGGGUUUUUUUUUGCAUGCUGGGGGUUUGCUGUUUUCUUUUGAAUGGGUUCCAUGGUUUUCUUUGUUUUGUGGCUGUCUGUGGGAAGUUAAAUUUCAGAGUAGCAUACUGCACAUAUAUAGAACAUAGACCAAUACAGCACAGGAACAGGCCCUUCACCCCACAAUGUUGUGCCAAGUUAGUUAAAUUAGUAAUCAAAUGACCGACUAAACCAGUGUUUCCCAAUCUUUUUUUAAAGCCCAACCCUCCCAAGCACUUUCAAAUUUGCCAACGCCCCUCACAGUAUACUUUCCGCCACUCCCAUUGUGUAAAAGAAAUGUCUACCAUAUGCUAACAUGAGACAGUAAUUCUACUUUAGAAUCUUUUGUCUUUAAACCUAGCUUACACAGCACUCGUGUGCUGUAGAGCAGCUUCGGUAUCUAUAUGAUCCUUGAGCUUGAUAGCAAGAGUUGGAAUAACUGGUUCACGUUGUGAUAGCAAAAGUCUCCGUGCGUAACAAUGUCCAAGUGGUUUUUGUUUUUUGUGAGUAUGUGGUUCACUGCACCGAAGCCUCUUUCAAUAAGAGUAGGAGGAUGGAAAUGCUCUGAAGAGCAGUUUGGCUCUUCUCCAAAGACCAGGAAACUUCGUAUGACUGUGGAGCCACAUGGCACAAAGAUUGACAUUUUCAAAAAGCAUUCUUGCUGCUUCAUCAUUCCGAAUUUCAAUAAUUUUUUAAUAUACUUUAAUAAUAAAUAUACUUUGAAUCUUGAAACAUUCCAAGCCUGGACUUCAGGUCCAGAUGCGGAUACUUUAUAUCAAUAGAGUAGUGAAUGGAUAUGGCAAUGUGCAAUGGUCACAUCAGUCCGUAUCCCAUCUACGUCGUGUGAUAUUUGUAGGCAUUUGAAGAUUGCUGGUCAAAUAAACCUGCUGGAUCUUUUUGAGUUUUGUGCUUUUCUCCCCCUUAAUUUGAAAUCAUUCUGCAUUGACGAAGUUAGUUUUAAGGUGCAAGAGAGGAUGGAUAAGAUAUAGGAGAAGAUGCAGGCCAUUCAGCCCAUCGAGUCUGCUCCACCAUUCAAUCAUGGGUUGAGGGACAAACUGAAUAGCUCUGAAAGGGUGAGGCCAAGGCUGAGUGGGUAUAAGUGGAAGGUGGAAUAUUCCUGUUGAUGGGUGACACUGUGCAUUAAUCUAAUUAACCACGACCUCAGUGUUCACAAUCAAGUUUGUUUAAUUCUCAAAGUAACUUACUUGGUUGAUUUCAUUUAUGGAAGUUGAUGUGUAAUUAUCCUGUCACUGAAUGAACUCAAUUAAUUUACUACAAACAGUUACAAGUUCUCCAGCACAGCCCUUUGAACUCAAUAUGCUUUGCCUAAGGAUGGAGUUGGACUUCCAUUAUUCUCGACUGGAUAUGGAAGGACUCUACAUCAAUUCCUUUAUGGUGUAUUCCUUGCUUCCUUGCUAACUCUUUCUAAAGCCUGCAGCUCUGAAAGUUUGGCAUGUAAAUCAACCAAUGCAGUAACAGUUUUAAUACUCUGAAGUCGACCUAAGCUGUCCUUAGUCAUUCAUGAAAGAUUGUGUCCAGUGUGGGGCAUGCCUUAUUCUGAUUGUUGAAAGUCACUUCUGCUGUGAUUGGUUAGUUUAGAAACUGCAGCUGCUUCUUCCAUUGGAUAGGUGCCUGGUGUCCAGUUUCAAAUAUCCUGGGUAUAUAGAAUAGCACAUGGAAGGGGCUUACUCUCUGCAUCCUUUGAUUAAGACAUGACUAUUGGAAAGGUGUGCUCUGUGCAUACUUUUAACUAAGUAUGUUUGUUGAAUAUUCAGUAUUUUACUUUAUAGUGCCUGUAACUUGGGGAACAUGAAUGUUUGGUUAAAUUUUUACUGUCUGUAAAUAAAUGAUUAAUAUACCUACUUGCAGAAAGUGCUUUCUGUUUCACUUGCCAGACCCAUGAACCUGAUUGGAUGUUACAGAUGGCAAAAAUAUUUUCACACAAUGCACUGUCCAUCAGUACAAUGGAUUUAUUACAUAGAAAAUAAGGCAGCAAUAAAAUACAAUCACAUGCCAUAAAUAGAACCGAGUUGGUCAAAUCUCUGUUUGGUGUUCAUUUUUGCUGGUGUUCAUUGAGAGAAAAAUGCUAGCAGGUCUGCUAGGGACUUUUAGUGACAAGCUGUGCUAAUGGGGGUUUCCCUGUUUAACAUCUCACCUGGAAGGAAAAGCUGAGAGACUACACCAGGUAGGUUGUACUUUUAGUAAGAGUGCAUUAGAUGAACAAUAUCUAACACAUAUUUUCCAUUUCAGACCACAAGAUUAGAAAGCUUUCUGUACGUAGAAGGAAGAGCAAAAGUUAGGCAGUUCUGUCCCAGGUGUCAGAAAUACUGUUAAUUGUUUAUAAUCACUGAAGGAAGAAUAGGGCAGAAAGAUGUGGAUAAAAUUAUGCACAGUCUUAUUAAAUCAAAAUCAAUCAAUUCAACCAUACAUGUAUACAGCUGAAUGAAACAAAGUGCAAAACAUUCACAGCACAUUCAGCGAGCAAAAGGAAAAAAUAGUCAUGCAAAGAAACACGUGGCCAAUACCCCGAGUAACAUGUCCCCCAAAAUGAUAGUACAGUUCGCGGCAGUGCACAGACGUAUGCAAUCCAGCUUGUUAUUCCGCCGAACGAACACUGGAGGGCAGCACUGACAGGAGAGGCCGGCCUCCGACCCAGCACGGACACCACGCUGCACCGCCUCUGGCAUCUCCGCUCCUGGGCUGCAACGGUAGGCAAGGCCGCAGCUUGAAGCCUGGUCCUCACUACAACCGAGGCAACACAGUUUCCCUACUGCCCGUCAACCCACCAAACUAAGGAAGCAGGCCUGUGCCAUCUUACACUAUCAUUGUCCAACAGGAUCUUGCAAUCACAAGAGAACCCUCCAAGACCUGAAGUUACACUGCAUGCCGCUUCACACACCAAUUCCAUUGCCUUCGUGCAGCAGGCAGCUCCUCUGAAACUAAUCUGGCUCCUCUGACAUGCCAGCUAGUCUCAAAGACCAUGGGAAUAUCCUUUAUGGAAUUCAAUAUUUCAUUUCAUGGAUAUUUCAAGCUUACACUUCUUGGUCUUUACCUAUUACAGCCCUAAAGUGAUAGAGUUCCUGUUGUCCUUACAUACCACCCCACGAGCAUUCACAUCCAACACAUAAUCCUCUGCAACUUCUGCUAUCUCUAAAGGGAUCCUACCACUAAACAUAUCUUUAACCCACCCCACCACCACCACUCUGUUUUCUGCCUCCAUGAUUCCCUUGUCCAUUUGUCCCUCCCCACUAAUCUCCCAUCCAGCCUUUGUCCUUGCAAACGGCUGAAGUGCUACAACCUGCCGUUUUACCUCAACCAGUUUCCAGAGACAACCAAAGCAGUUCAGUUCUUCAGCAUGCUCUUUGUGUAUUGCUGUGGCAACACAAAACCGUUGCAUGUUGGCUGACCCUCUGGGGCUCCCACACACUUGCUCAUAGUCUGCCAAAAGCCGCAUUUGCGUUUUUUUAAAUUUGUGUUGAUUUCUCCUUUGAUAUGAAUAGUACAGCAGAGUGUACAGAUGAGACAGAUAAGGCUGGUCACUACCUAGAGAGUUCAGUCCUUGGCUAUAUUUAAUAGUUUCCUGCUGCUGACCAAUUUGCUACUCCAGCCUUGUGUUGAUUAUGAAAAUAUCGAAGUGUUAGACUCAGAAAUGGGUCUUAACAAAAUCAUCAAUAAACAUACAGAUCAUGAACAGUCAUUUCCCUUGGCCUUGUUCUAGUCUUUGUUGUCCUCAAUAAAAUCUUGGAAAUGUUUAGCAGAUCACGUAGCAUCCACAGAAAGAGAGAAAAAUAGGUUAUUGUUGUGGAUAGAUUACGAUAAAUCAGAAAAGGUCAUCUGUGAAGCAAAGUGGAUAAACUGAUUAUCUGAAAUUGCUGAGUUCAAUAUUCAGCUGCAACAUUAGGUCUGUUUUUCUCUGCACAGAUACUACUUAAAUAUUCUCUACAUUUUGUCUUUCAAUAUUAUGACAGUGUUUCACUCCUUAAAGUUCAUCGGGACAUUGUCCUAUAAGAAGGACAGUAUCAAAAUGUAGGUUAUGGUUGAGAAAUUCAUGUGAUGUACUUUUAAUGCAGCUACAUAAGUUAACAGUCUUUUAUUUAGCAAUUAAUUUAAUUAAUGUUACAAACUAAUUGGUUUAACACAAUAGUUGGUUCUGUUCGCUGAAGGUUUCCUAGAACUAGCAUAAGGAAAAGGAACCCGCGUAGAUCAUAUUACUCCUCAAGCCUCUUAUACCAAUCAUUAGGAUUAUGGCUAAUAUCUACUUCAGUGUCAUUUUCCAGCCUUAUAUCAUUACAGGCCUUUAAUGCUCAGAAAUAUAUCAAUCUUUGUUUUGAAUAAGUUCCAUGACUGAAGGUCCAUUGCUAUCCAGGAUAAAGGAUUCUCUAACUAAAGAAAUGUCUCCAUGUCUCAUUGCUAAACGCCCUGUUCCUUAUUGUUAAACUGUUUCCUUUGAUCCUAUGCUCCUCAGCAUCUUUGUCUUUCCUGCCUCUGGCCUGUCAAGGCCUUUGAGAAAUUUGUAAUAUUUGUAAUUUCAAAAUCAUCCCCUUUCAGUCUUCUAAACUCUAAUGAAUACAGCCUCGGUCUAUUUAAUUUCUUCUCAUACAGCAAACCCAUCUUCCCUGGAACCAAUGUAACAAACAUUUGCUACACUUCCUUGGUGGUAAGUAUCUCUGAUCAUAGACAGGAGGACUAAAUCAACUCACAAUGUUCCAGGUACAGAUUCACUGUGUCUCUAUACACUUGUUAAACACUUCCUUAUUUCUGCAACAAAAAUUCUCUCAUAAAAAAGGCUGCUGCUUUUGUAGCUGCUGUUGCUGUUUCCCUUCUGCACCUGCACAUUGGCUUGCAGUGACUUGUGUACAAGAACUGAUGCACCAUCAAUAACUCUCUCUGAGACAUAAGGCGAGAUAUCGACUUUUAUUGACUGGAAGAAGGAACAAGCAGUGGUUGACCACCAUACUACAUCCUGGAGACUGAGAGGCCGGGCUCAGGCCUCAACCGCCUUUAUCCAGGGGUCUGUGGGAGGAGCCACAGGAGCAGUCAGCAGGGGGGCGUGUCCAGACGGGUAUAUGCAGUUCACCACAUUCACCCCCCCUUUGUUUUAAAAAGAGUCCCCAUUGUGGUGAACUCUGUUGGAGGUGGAAGUUACAGAGAAGUAUAUGCCUUUCAGUUCCCUAUUCUCAUCAGACCCUUGAUUCUGUUUUGCA